This 118-nucleotide ribosomal RNA is filed under the name Staphylococcus epidermidis. RNAcentral describes it as "partial 16S ribosomal RNA". It matches the Rfam family "Bacterial small subunit ribosomal RNA", at positions 1 to 111 of the family's 1533-position model. The record is from RNAcentral. Lineage: Bacteria; Bacillati; Bacillota; Bacilli; Caryophanales; Staphylococcaceae.
UUUUUAUGGAGAGUUUGAUCCUGGCUCAGGAUGAACGCUGGCGGCGUGCCUAAUACAUGCAAGUCGAGCGAACAGACGAGGAGCUUGCUCCUCUGACGUUAGCGGCGACAGGGUGCGU